CCAGCUGCUGAGGAAGGAGAUCAGCGCUGUGGAGCUGCAGAUGAUCAAUGAAGAUAAGAGCUGGAGGGAUGAGCUGCUGGAGUUAUCCCGAUCGAAGCAGACCCGCGCUGACUCUGAGCUGCUCUGUUUACGGCAGGUGUGUGAGAACCAGCAGAAUGACCUGCAGUUGCUGAAGCUGAACCUGGAGAGCACCAGAGAAGCCCUGCGGCACCAUGAGGGUCAAAGGUCACGCGACAGGUGACAACAAUAACAGACAAAAACAGCAUAGACCAGG
Molecule: non-coding RNA, 274 nt
Organism: Danio rerio (zebrafish)
Lineage: Eukaryota; Metazoa; Chordata; Actinopteri; Cypriniformes; Danionidae
Source: RefSeq, a predicted model, not a curated record